UGUGGGAGCGGGCUUGCCCGCGAUAGCAGUCUGUCAGUCGGCAUCAUUGCUGGACCUGACUUCGCCAUCGCGGGCAAGCCCGCUCCCACA
Molecule: non-coding RNA, 90 nt
Filed under: Pseudomonas sp. OV226
Lineage: Bacteria; Pseudomonadati; Pseudomonadota; Gammaproteobacteria; Pseudomonadales; Pseudomonadaceae
Source: RNAcentral